RNAcentral lists this ribosomal RNA (430 nucleotides) under Pseudomonadota bacterium. RNAcentral's name for it is "Proteobacteria bacterium partial 16S ribosomal RNA". It matches the Rfam family "Bacterial small subunit ribosomal RNA", at positions 355 to 776 of the family's 1533-position model. Lineage: Bacteria; Pseudomonadati; Pseudomonadota. The record is from RNAcentral.
UGGGGAAUAUUGGACAAUGGGGGGAACCCUGAUCCAGCCAUGCCGCGUGUGUGAAGAAGGCCUUAUGGUUGUAAAGCACUUUAAGCGAGGAGGAGGGUACUGGUAUUAAUACUACCAGCUACUGGACGUUACUCGCAGAAUAAGCACCGGCUAACUCUGUGCCAGCAGCCGCGGUAAUACAGAGGGUGCGAGCGUUAAUCGGAUUUACUGGGCGUAAAGCGUGCGUAGGCGGCUAAUUGAGUCGGAUGUGAAAUCCCCGAGCUUAACUUGGGAAUUGCAUUCGAUACUGGUUAGCUAGAGUGUGGGAGAGGAUGGUAGAAUUCCAGGUGUAGCGGUGAAAUGCGUAGAGAUCUGGAGGAAUACCGAUGGCGAAGGCAGCCAUCUGGCCUAACACUGACGCUGAGGUACGAAAGCAUGGGGAGCAAAAAGG